Molecule: small nuclear RNA, 336 nt
Filed under: Sorex araneus (European shrew)
Lineage: Eukaryota; Metazoa; Chordata; Mammalia; Eulipotyphla; Soricidae
Description: 7SK RNA (ENSSARG00000018314.1)
Rfam family: 7SK RNA
About the family: 7SK was discovered as an abundant small nuclear RNA in the mid-70s but a possible function has only recently been suggested. Two independent studies have found that 7SK RNA binds the CDK9/cyclin T complex (known as elongation factor P-TEFb).
Source: RNAcentral
GGAUAUGACGGGUGAUCAACUGCAACAAAUAUCACGUCAUUGAUCACCAAGAUUGAUUUAGUUUAUCUGACUGGCUUGGUGGGUGUCCCCUUCUUCCCGGACCUCCCACCCCUGUGUGCAUCCCUUUUGAAGUUACACCCUAAGUCGAAGAGGACAGUUUUCCUUGAAUAGAGACUGACUGAUUUUUUGGUAGAGGGUUUAGGAGUAACUAUGCUUUCCUUCUAGAAUCUUCAAACAAGCUCUCAGAUGAUUUUUGGUAUCAACAUCAUGAAAAUCAUCAUGAAGAAAAAUGUGUAGAGCUUUGCAAGGAAUGUAAACCCGGACAAAUAAAGGUUU